ACGUACGCUGGCGGCACGCCUAACACAUGCAAGUCGAACGAAGUAGCAAUACUUAGUGGCAGACGGGUGAGUAACAUGUAGGUAUCUGCCCUUUGGCCUGGAAUAACACGAGGAAACUUGUGCUAAUACCGGAUAAGUCUUUACAGAGAAAGCUUUAUGCACCAUUGGAUGAGCCUGCACUUGAUUAGUUUGUUGGUGGGGUAAUGGCCUACCAAGACUGUGAUCAAUAGCUGAUUUGAGAGGAUGAUCAGCCACAUUGGGACUGAGACACGGCCCAAACUCCUACGGGAGGCAGCAGUGGGGAAUCUUGCACAAUGGAGGAAACUCUGAUGCAGCGAUGCCGCGUGAGUGAAGAAGGCCUUUGGGUUGUAAAGCUCUUUCGUCGGGGAAGAAAAUGACUGUACCCGAAUAAGAAGGUCCGGCUAACUUCGUGCCAGCAGCCGCGGUAAUACGAAGGGACCUAGCGUAGUUCGGAAUUACUGGGCUUAAAGAGUUCGUAGGUGGUUGAAAAAGUUAGUGGUGAAAUCCCAGAGCUUAACUCUGGAACUGCCAUUAAAACUUUUCAGCUAGAGUAUGAUAGAGGAAAGCAGAAUUUCUAGUGUAGAGGUGAAAUUCGUAGAUAUUAGAAAGAAUACCAAUUGCGAAGGCAGCUUUCUGGAUCAUUACUGACACUGAGGAACGAAAGCAUGGGUAGCGAAGAGGAUUAGAUACCCUCGUAGUCCAUGCCGUAAACGAUGUGUGUUAGACGUUGGAAAUUUAUUUUCAGUGUCGCAGGGAAACCGAUAAACACACCGCCUGGGGAGUACGACCGCAAGGUUAAAACUCAAAUGAAUUGACGGGGACCCGCACAAGUAGUGGAGCAUGUGGUUUAAUUCGAAGAUACGCGCAGAACCUUACCAACACUUGACAUGUUCGUCGCGACUCUAAGAGAUUAGAGUUUUCGGUUCGGCCGGACGAAACACAGGUGCUGCAUGGCUGUCGUCAGCUCGUGUCGUGAGAUGUUGGGUUAAGUCCCGCAACGAGCGCAACCCUCACUUUUAGUUGCCAUCAUUAAGUUGGGCACUCUGAAAGAACUGCCAGUGAUAAGCUGGAGGAAGGUGGGGAUGACGUCAAGUCCUCAUGGCCCUUACGUGUUGGGCUACACACGUGCUACAAUGGUAUCUACAACAGGAAGCAAGACUGCGAAGUUAAGCAAAUCCCUAAAAGAUACCUCAGUUCGGAUUGCACUCUGCAACUCGAGUGCAUGAAGCUGGAAUUACUAGUAAUCGUGGAUCAGCGUGCCACGGUGAAUGCGUUCCCGGGUCUUGUACACACCGCCCGUCAAGGG
This 1327-nucleotide ribosomal RNA is filed under the name uncultured Alphaproteobacteria bacterium. RNAcentral describes it as "bacterial SSU rRNA". It matches the Rfam family "Bacterial small subunit ribosomal RNA", at positions 29 to 1403 of the family's 1533-position model. Lineage: Bacteria; Pseudomonadati; Pseudomonadota; Alphaproteobacteria. The record is from RNAcentral.